AUGAACGCUGGCGGCGUGCCUAAUCCCUGCCAGUCGAGCGAACAGACGAGGAGCUUGCUCCUCUGACGUUAGCGGCGGACGGGUGAGUAACACGUGGAUAACCUACCUAUAAGACUGGGAUAACUUCGGGAAACCGGAGCUAAUACCGGAUAAUAUAUUGAACCGCAUGGUUCAAUAGUGAAAGACGGUUUUGCUGUCACUUAUAGACGGAUCCGCGCCGCAUUAGCUAGUUGGUAAGGUAACGGCUUACCAAGGCGACGAUGCGUAGCCGACCUGAGAGGGUGAUCGGCCACACUGGAACUGAGACACGGUCCAGACUCCUACGGGAGGCAGCAGUAGGGAAUCUUCCGCAAAGGGCGAAAGCCUGACGGAGCAACGCCGCGUGAGUGAUGAAGGUCUUCGGAUCGUAAAACUCUGUUAUUAGGGAAGAACAAAUGUGUAAGUAACUAUGCACGUCUUGACGGUACCUAAUCAGAAAGCCACGGCUAACUACGUG
This 496-nucleotide ribosomal RNA is filed under the name uncultured bacterium. RNAcentral's name for it is "partial 16S ribosomal RNA". It matches the Rfam family "Bacterial small subunit ribosomal RNA", at positions 29 to 507 of the family's 1533-position model. The record is from RNAcentral.